GACGAACGCUGGCGGCGUGCUUAACACAUGCAAGUCGAACGAUGAAGCCGGAGCUUGCUCUGGUGAAUUAGUGGCGAACGGGUGAGUAACACGUGAGUAACCUGCCCUUGACUCUGGGAUAACUGCGGGAAACUGUAGCUAAUACCGGAUACGACCUCCGGAGGCAUCUCCUGGGGGUGGAAAGAAUUUCGGUCAAGGAUGGACUCGCGGCCUAUCGGCUAGUUGGUGAGGUAACGGCUAACCAAGGCGACGACGGGUAGCCGGCCUGAGAGGGUGACCGGCCACACUGGGACUGAGACACGGCCCAGACUCCUACGGGAGGCAGCAGUGGGGAAUAUUGCACAAUGGGCGCAAGCCUGAUGCAGCAACGCCGCGUGAGGGAUGACGGCCUUCGGGUUGUAAACCUCUUUUAGCAGGGAAGAAGCGAAAGUGACGGUACCUGCAGAAAAAGCACCGGCUAACUACGUGCCAGCAGCCGCCGUAA
This 484-nucleotide ribosomal RNA is filed under the name uncultured bacterium. Its description in RNAcentral is "partial 16S ribosomal RNA". It matches the Rfam family "Bacterial small subunit ribosomal RNA", at positions 28 to 523 of the family's 1533-position model. The record is from RNAcentral.